AUUUCAACCAGCUAUCUCCGUGUUCCCCCUGCUGGCGAGAGUCAACAGGCCGGGUCAACACUACGUGCACGGCUGGCUUCAGAGUCUAUUUUAUAGUUCGUCGAUUCGCUCAGCUGUCGUUUUCACACUUGAUCAUGAACAGACUCCAUGCAAGGGAAAUCAACUGAAGAUGACUGUCUUUCACAGAACUCAAUAAAGAAGCUAGGAGACACGUGGGCUCCGUAACGGGUUUCUCUGUGCAGCCCUGGCUGUCCUGGAACUUGCACUGUAGACCAGGUUAGCCUCGAACUCACAGAGAUCCACUUGCCUCUGCCUCCCAAGUGCUGGGAUCAAAGGUAUGCACCACCACUGCCCAGCUCAAAUAGUUCCUUUUAAAAUCUUUAGUUCUUAUAAGGACACAGAUUUUUAUCUUUUUCUUAAUU
Molecule: long non-coding RNA, 422 nt
Filed under: Mus musculus (house mouse)
Lineage: Eukaryota; Metazoa; Chordata; Mammalia; Rodentia; Muridae
Description: predicted gene 15499
Source: RNAcentral